RNAcentral lists this transfer RNA (72 nucleotides) under Candidatus Harrisonbacteria bacterium CG10_big_fil_rev_8_21_14_0_10_40_38. Its description in RNAcentral is "tRNA-Glu". It matches the Rfam family "tRNA". From Rfam's summary of the family: Transfer RNA (tRNA) molecules are approximately 80 nucleotides in length. Their secondary structure includes four short double-helical elements and three loops (D, anti-codon, and T loops). Lineage: Bacteria; Candidatus Harrisoniibacteriota. The record is from RNAcentral.
GCUCUCAUCGUCUAACGGCUAGGACGCCGCCCUUUCACGGCGGAAAUCGGAGUUCGAUUCUCCGUGGGAGCA